Long non-coding RNA from Dermacentor silvarum, 289 nucleotides. RefSeq lists it as uncharacterized. Lineage: Eukaryota; Metazoa; Arthropoda; Arachnida; Ixodida; Ixodidae. The transcript is spliced from 4 exons. The record is from RefSeq and is a predicted model, not a curated record.
GCUGGCUCUUGUGUGUCAGCUCCAAGCUCGCCACGAAACCCUAGCAACUUCUCCCCUUCUUGCAUGAUGCGAGUCACUUCAGUGAUGAUGACUGUCUCGGGUUCUUUCUGGUCAUGUGGCUCAUCUGAUGGCUUCUUUGGCUUGCCCUUCUUUUUCUUGCCAGGCUCCUUAUCGUCAGCUUCUGGCUUCUCAGGUGUCUCCUUCAAGCCAAUGAUAGUCGAUGUGGGCUCCUUUCCAGGUAUGCCCUCUCUGCUUGGAAGCUUGGCUGGCUCUUGAGUCUCAGCUCCAG